Molecule: ribosomal RNA, 260 nt
Filed under: uncultured bacterium
Lineage: Bacteria
Description: partial small subunit ribosomal RNA
Rfam family: Bacterial small subunit ribosomal RNA
Source: RNAcentral
AGAAUCAACGCUGGCGGCGUGCCUAACACAUGCAAGUCGAACGAGAAAGUGGAGCAAUCCAUGAGUAAAGUGGCGACCGGGUGAGUAACACGUGACUAACCUACCUUCGAGUGGGGGAUAACCUCGGGAAACCGGGGCUAAUACCGCAUAACAUCUUUGAAGUGGAAAUUUCGGAGAUCAAAGGAGCAAUUCGCUGGAAGAGGGGGUCGCGGCUGAUUAGCUAGUUGGCGGGUAACGGCCCACCAAGGCUUAGAUCGGUA